RNAcentral lists this ribosomal RNA (497 nucleotides) under uncultured bacterium. RNAcentral's name for it is "partial 16S ribosomal RNA". It matches the Rfam family "Bacterial small subunit ribosomal RNA", at positions 28 to 507 of the family's 1533-position model. The record is from RNAcentral.
GAUGAACGCUUGCGGCGUGCCUAAUACAUGCAAGUCGAGCGAACAGAUAAGGGGCUUGCUCCUUUGACGUUAGCGGCGGACGGGUGAGUAACACGUGGGUAACCUACCUAUAAGACUGGGAUAACUUCGGGAAACCGGAGCUAAUACCGGAUAACAUUUGGAACCGCAUGGUUCUAAAGUGAAAGAUGGUUUUGCUAUCACUUAUAGAUGGACCCGCGCCGUAUUAGCUAGUUGGUAAGGUAACGGCUUACCAAGGCGACGAUACGUAGCCGACCUGAGAGGGUGAUCGGCCACACUGGAACUGAGACACGGUCCAGACUCCUACGGGAGGCAGCAGUAGGGAAUCUUCCGCAAUGGGCGAAAGCCUGACGGAGCAACGCCGCGUGAGUGAUGAAGGGUUUCGGAUCGUAAAACUCUGUUAUUAGGGAAGAACAAAUGUGUAAGUAACUGUGCACGUCUUGACGGUACCUAAUCAGAAAGCCACGGCUAACUACGUG